GGGCCCAAGGCAUAGGUGGGAAAUGGAGGCCCUGAGACAUUGCCUGGGGUCAGGUGGCCAGUGGAUAGAAGGGCUAAGGUGAACACUCCCUUCCCGCAUGCCUCCUUGCUCCUUUUACAAGGCUGAAGGCAGGCUGGAAGUGUGGGGCAAGAAGGAAAAAUCAAUGAUCCUGCUUGGGGCCUGGAAAGAGAGAGGGCUGAGAGCGCUUCCCUCUCACGCUAGGAAAGAGCCGUCCUCACUGUCUGUCCUCUGCCCCCAGGUUGGCCGGAGAUGGAGUGGGAGCCGUGAAUAUCUCUGUGGUGAAUUCCACUGGUGGCAGUAACAGUGGCGGUGGCAUUGGGCUGACCCUCGGGGGAACCAUGGGCAGCAAUGCCCUGAGCUUCUCCAGCAGUGCGGGUCCUGGGUCCCUGAAGGCUUACUCCAUCCGGACCGCAUCUGCCAGUCGCAGGAGUGCCCGCAACUGAGCCGCCUCCCACCACUCCAUUCCCCUGGCCACCGCCCACAGUCACAAGAAGAUUCCCAUCCCUGCCUCCCAUGCCUGGUCCCAAGACCAUGGGACAGUCUGGGAAGUGAUGUCAGAAUAGCUUCCAAUAAAGCAGCCUCAUUCUGAAGCCUGAGUGAUCCACGUG
RNAcentral lists this small RNA (629 nucleotides) under Pongo abelii (Sumatran orangutan). RNAcentral describes it as "retained intron". Lineage: Eukaryota; Metazoa; Chordata; Mammalia; Primates; Hominidae. The record is from RNAcentral.